GGUUAAGCGACUAAGCGUACACGGUGGAUGCCCUGGCAGUCAGAGGCGAUGAAGGACGUGCUAAUCUGCGAAAAGCGUCGGUAAGGUGAUAUGAACCGUUAUAGCCGGCGAUGUCCGAAUGGGGAAACCCAGUGCAAUUCGUUGCACUAUCGUUAACUGAAUACAUAGGUUAACGAGGCGAACCGGGGGAACUGAAACAUCUAAGUACCCCGAGGAAAAGAAAUCAACCGAGAUUCCCCCAGUAGCGGCGAGCGAACGGGGAGCAGCCCGGAGUCUGAAUCAGCUUGUGUGUUAGUGGAAGCGUCUGGAAAGUCGCAGGGUACAGGGUGAUACUCCCGUACACUAAAACACACAGGUUGUGAACUCGAAGAGUAGGGCGGGACACGUGGUAUCCUGUCUGAAUAUGGGGGGACCAUCCUCCAAGGCUAAAUACUCCUGACUGACCGAUAGUGAACCAGUACCGUGAGGGAAAGGCGAAAAGAACCCCGGCGAGGGGAGUGAAAAAGAACCUGAAACCGUGUACGUACAAGCAGUAGGAGCCCACUAGUUGGGUGACUGCGUACCUUUUGUAUAAUGGGUCAGCGACUUAUAUUCUGUAGCAAGGUUAACCGUAUAGGGGAGCCGCAGGGAAACCGAGUCUUAACUGGGCGUUAAGUUGCAGGGUAUAGACCCGAAACCCGGUGAUCUAGCCAUGGGCAGGUUGAAGGUUGGGUAACACUAACUGGAGGACCGAACCGACUAAUGUUGAAAAAUUAGCGGAUGACUUGUGGCUGGGGGUGAAAGGCCAAUCAAACCGGGAGAUAGCUGGUUCUCCCCGAAAGCUAUUUAGGUAGCGCCUCGUGAACUCAUCUUCGGGGGUAGAGCACUGUUUCGGCUAGGGGGUCAUCCCGACUUACCAACCCGAUGCAAACUACGAAUACCGAAGAAUGUUAUCACGGGAGACACACGGCGGGUGCUAACGUCCGUCGUGAAGAGGGAAACAACCCAGACCGCCAGCUAAGGUCCCAAAGUCAUGGUUAAGUGGGAAACGAUGUGGGAAGGCCCAGACAGCCAGGAUGUUGGCUUAGAAGCAGCCAUCAUUUAAAGAAAGCGUAAUAGCUCACUGGUCGAGUCGGCCUGCGCGGAAGAUGUAACGGGGCUAAACCAUGCACCGAAGCUGCGGCAGCGACACUAUGUGUUGUUGGGUAGGGGAGCGUUCUGUAAGCCGUUGAAGGUGGCCUGUGAGGGUUGCUGGAGGUAUCAGAAGUGCGAAUGCUGACAUAAGUAACGAUAAUGCGGGUGAAAAACCCGCACGCCGGAAGACCAAGGGUUCCUGUCCAACGUUAAUCGGGGCAGGGUGAGUCGACCCCUAAGGCGAGGCCGAAAGGCGUAGUCGAUGGGAAACAGGUUAAUAUUCCUGUACUCGGUGUUACUGCGAAGGGGGGACGGAGAAGGCUAUGUUGGCCGGGCGACGGUUGUCCCGGUUUAAGCAUGUAGGCGGAUGUUCCAGGUAAAUCCGGAACGUUAUUAACGCUGAGGUGUGAUGACGAGGCACUACGGUGCUGAAGUGACAAAUGCCCUGCUUCCAGGAAAAGCCUCUAAGCAUCAGGUAACAUCAAAUCGUACCCCAAACCGACACAGGUGGUCAGGUAGAGAAUACCAAGGCGCUUGAGAGAACUCGGGUGAAGGAACUAGGCAAAAUGGUGCCGUAACUUCGGGAGAAGGCACGCUGAUGGUAGGUGAAGUGACUUGCUCAUGGAGCUGAAAUCAGUCGAAGAUACCAGCUGGCUGCAACUGUUUAUUAAAAACACAGCACUGUGCAAACACGAAAGUGGACGUAUACGGUGUGACGCCUGCCCGGUGCCGGAAGGUUAAUUGAUGGGGUUAUCCGUAAGGAGAAGCUCUUGAUCGAAGCCCCGGUAAACGGCGGCCGUAACUAUAACGGUCCUAAGGUAGCGAAAUUCCUUGUCGGGUAAGUUCCGACCUGCACGAAUGGCGUAAUGAUGGCCAGGCUGUCUCCACCCGAGACUCAGUGAAAUUGAACUCGCUGUGAAGAUGCAGUGUACCCGCGGCAAGACGGAAAGACCCCGUGAACCUUUACUAUAGCUUGACACUGAACACUGGUCCUUGAUGUGUAGGAUAGGUGGGAGGCUUUGAAGUGUGGACGCCAGUCUGCAUGGAGCCAUCCUUGAAAUACCACCCUUUAAUGGCUGGUGUUCUAACGUGGGCCCCUAAUCGGGGUUGCGGACAGUGUCUGGUGGGUAGUUUGACUGGGGCGGUCUCCUCCUAAAGAGUAACGGAGGAGCACGAAGGUCAGCUAAUCCUGGUCGGACAUCAGGAGGUUAGUGCAAUGGCAUAAGCUGGCUUGACUGCGAGCGUGACGGCGCGAGCAGGUGCGAAAGCAGGUCAUAGUGAUCCGGUGGUUCUGAAUGGAAGGGCCAUCGCUCAACGGAUAAAAGGUACUCCGGGGAUAACAGGCUGAUACCGCCCAAGAGUUCAUAUCGACGGCGGUGUUUGGCACCUCGAUGUCGGCUCAUCACAUCCUGGGGCUGAAGUAGGUCCCAAGGGUAUGGCUGUUCGCCAUUUAAAGUGGUACGCGAGCUGGGUUUAGAACGUCGUGAGACAGUUCGGUCCCUAUCUGCCGUGGGCGCUGGAGAAUUGAGGGGGGCUGCUCCUAGUACGAGAGGACCGGAGUGGACGCAUCACUGGUGUUCGGGUUGUCAUGCCAAUGGCAUUGCCCGGUAGCUAAAUGCGGAAGAGAUAAGUGCUGAAAGCAUCUAAGCACGAAACUUGCCCCGAGAUGAGUUCUCCCUGACUCCUUGAGAGUCCUGAAGGAACGUUGAAGACGACGACGUUGAUAGGCCGGGUGUGUAAGCGCAGCGAUGCGUUGAGCUAACCGGUACUAAUGAACCGUGAGGCUUAACCUU
This 2906-nucleotide ribosomal RNA is filed under the name Klebsiella michiganensis. RNAcentral describes it as "23S ribosomal RNA". It matches the Rfam family "Bacterial large subunit ribosomal RNA". Lineage: Bacteria; Pseudomonadati; Pseudomonadota; Gammaproteobacteria; Enterobacterales; Enterobacteriaceae. The record is from RNAcentral.